RNAcentral lists this ribosomal RNA (468 nucleotides) under uncultured bacterium. RNAcentral's name for it is "partial 16S ribosomal RNA". It matches the Rfam family "Bacterial small subunit ribosomal RNA", at positions 28 to 507 of the family's 1533-position model. The record is from RNAcentral.
GACGAACGCUGGCGGCGUGCUUAACACAUGCAAGUCGAACGGAAAGGCCCUGCUUUUGUGGGGUGCUCGAGUGGCGAACGGGUGAGUAACACGUGAGUAACCUGCCCUUGACUUUGGGAUAACUUCAGGAAACUGGGGCUAAUACCGGAUAGGAGCUCCUGCUGAAUGGUGGGGGUUGGAAAGUUUCGGCGGUUGGGGAUGGACUCGCGGCUUAUCAGCUUGUUGGUGGGGUAGUGGCUUACCAAGGCUUUGACGGGUAGCCGGCCUGAGAGGGUGACCGGCCACAUUGGGACUGCGAUACGGCCCAGACUCCUACGGGAGGCAGCAGUGGGGAAUAUUGCACAAUGGGCGGAAGCCUGAUGCAGCAACGCCGCGUGCGGGAUGACGGCCUUCGGGUUGUAAACCGCUUUCGCCUGUGACGAAGCGUGAGUGACGGUAAUGGGUAAAGAAGCACCGGCUAACUACGUG